AUGGAGAACCCUGAUCAUGGCGUGAUCUCUGCUUCCUGGCUGGACAGCUGUGUGCUAGCCUCUGCCCAUAGUCCCCACAGAUGCCAGGGCCUCAUGAUACUAACCAUGCUCCCUGGUGCUUUUGACCUCUCCACUCUGCCUUAGCCUCUUUCCUCUUCCUUUAUCCACCAGGAACAGAAUGGGUAGACCCAGAGGACCCCACAGUCAUUGCUGAGAAUGAGCUCCUGGGAGCUGCAGCCGCCAUUGAGGCUGCAGCCAAAAAGCUAGAGCAGCUGAAGCCCCGGGCCAAACCCAAGGAGGCAGAUGAGUCCUUGAACUUUGAGGAGCAGAUACUAGAAGCUGCCAAGUCCAUUGCAGCAGCCACCAGUGCACUGGUAAAGGCUGCGUCGGCUGCCCAGAGAGAACUAGUGGCCCAAGGGAAGGUGGGUGCCAUUCCAGCCAAUGCACUGGACGAUGGGCAGUGGUCCCAGGGCCUCAUUUCUGCUGCCCGGAUGGUGGCUGCAGCCACCAACAAUCUGUGUGAGGCAGCCAAUGCAGCUGUACAAGGCCACGCCAGCCAGGAGAAGCUCAUCUCAUCAGCCAAGCAGGUAGCUGCCUCCACAGCCCAGCUCCUUGUGGCCUGCAAGGUCAAGGCUGACCAGGACUCGGAGGCAAUGAAACGACUUCAGGCUGCUGGCAACGCAGUGAAGCGAGCCUCAGAUAAUCUGGUGAAAGCAGCACAGAAGGCUGCAGCCUUCGAAGAACAGGAGAAUGAGACAGUGGUGGUGAAAGAGAAGAUGGUUGGCGGCAUUGCCCAG
Molecule: small RNA, 797 nt
Filed under: Pongo abelii (Sumatran orangutan)
Lineage: Eukaryota; Metazoa; Chordata; Mammalia; Primates; Hominidae
Description: processed transcript
Source: RNAcentral